GAUGAAGAACGCAGCGAAAUGCGAUAAGUAGUGUGAAUUGCAGAAUUCAGUGAAUCAUCGAAUCUUUGAACGCACAUUGCGCCCUUUGGUAUUCCUUAGGGCAUGCCUGUUCGAGCGUCAUUUAAACCUUCAAGCUAAGCUUGGUGUUGGGUGACUGUCCGCUUCACGGCGGACUCGCCUCAAAAUUAUUGGCGGCCGGUACAUUGGCUUCGAGCGCAGCAGAAACGCGAACUCGGGCCCGUCGUAUUGGCUCCCAGAAGCUAUCUUCACAAUUUUGACCUCGGAUCAGGUAGGGUUACCCGCUGAACUUAAGCAUAUCAAUAAGCGGAGGA
RNAcentral lists this unclassified non-coding RNA (332 nucleotides) under soil metagenome. RNAcentral describes it as "partial contains 5.8S ribosomal RNA, internal transcribed spacer 2, and large subunit ribosomal RNA". The stretch from base 1 to 120 matches the Rfam family "5.8S ribosomal RNA", at positions 35 to 154 of the family's 154-position model. The record is from RNAcentral.